Molecule: ribosomal RNA, 261 nt
Filed under: uncultured archaeon
Lineage: Archaea
Description: partial 16S ribosomal RNA
Rfam family: Archaeal small subunit ribosomal RNA
Source: RNAcentral
UAGCCGUAAACGAUACUCGCUAGGUGUCGGCCACGGUGCGACCGUUGUCGGUGCCGUAGGGAAGCCGUGAAGCGAGCCACCUGGGAAGUACGGCCGCAAGGCUGAAACUUAAAGGAAUUGGCGGGGGAGCACAACAACGGGUGGAGCUUGCGGUUUAAUUGGAUUCAACGCCGGAAAUCUUACCGGGACCGACAGCAACAUGAAGGCCAAGCUGAAGACUUUGCCGGAUUAGCUGAGAGGUGGUGCAUGGCGUGUGACUGU